GACGAACCGUGCGAACGUUAUUCGGAAUCACUGGGCUUAAAGCGCGUGUAGGCGGCUUGGCAAGUCGGGUGUGAAAGCCCUGGGCUCAACCUAGGAAGUGCACUCGAAACUGCGGAGCUGGAGUCCUGGAGAGGAAGGCGGAAUUCUCGGUGUAGAGGUGAAAUUCGUAGAUAUCGAGAGGAACACCGGUGGCGAAGGCGGCCUUCUGGACAGUGACUGACGCUGAGACGCGAAAGCGUGGGGAGCAAACAGG
RNAcentral lists this ribosomal RNA (253 nucleotides) under uncultured bacterium. RNAcentral's name for it is "partial 16S ribosomal RNA". It matches the Rfam family "Bacterial small subunit ribosomal RNA", at positions 524 to 776 of the family's 1533-position model. The record is from RNAcentral.